UUGGUAUUAUCAUCUGAUAAGUCAUGUCGAUUAUAAGAUACACAGUUUUCUCUGCUUUCAAAUCUUUCUGUUUGAACCCGUCGACCUGGAACUUAUCAUUAUUGGAAAUAUUAAUUAUUUGGAAAACAAAAGGUCCUGGCUAUCCAGGAAUGGAGUAUUUUUUAAUCAACAGCAUUGUCCUAUAUUAGUUAUCUUAGAAAGUCUUGCUGAUUGCUGAAUAAAACUACA
Molecule: long non-coding RNA, 228 nt
Filed under: Mytilus galloprovincialis (Mediterranean mussel)
Lineage: Eukaryota; Metazoa; Mollusca; Bivalvia; Mytilida; Mytilidae
Source: RNAcentral